CCUACGGGGGGCUGCAGUGGGGAAUUUUGGACAAUGGGCGAAAGCCUGAUCCAGCCAUGCCGCGUGCAGGAUGAAGGCCUUCGGGUUGUAAACUGCUUUUGUACGGAACGAAAAGACUCCUUCUAAUAAAGGGGGUCCAUGACGGUACCGUAAGAAUAAGCACCGGCUAACUACGUGCCAGCAGCCGCGGUAAUACGUAGGGUGCAAGCGUUAAUCGGAAUUACUGGGCGUAAAGCGUGCGCAGGCGGUUAUAUAAGACAGAUGUGAAAUCCCCGGGCUCAACCUGGGAACUGCAUUUGUGACUGUAUAGCUAGAGUACGGCAGAGGGGGAUGGAAUUCCGCGUGUAGCAGUGAAAUGCGUAGAUAUGCGGAGGAACACCGAUGGCGAAGGCAAUCCCCUGGGCCUGUACUGACGCUCAUGCACGAAAGCGUGGGGAGCAAACAGGAUUAGAUACCCCUGUAGUC
Molecule: ribosomal RNA, 465 nt
Filed under: uncultured Acidovorax sp.
Lineage: Bacteria; Pseudomonadati; Pseudomonadota; Betaproteobacteria; Burkholderiales; Comamonadaceae
Description: bacterial SSU rRNA
Rfam family: Bacterial small subunit ribosomal RNA
Source: RNAcentral